This 433-nucleotide ribosomal RNA is filed under the name uncultured bacterium. Its description in RNAcentral is "partial 16S ribosomal RNA". It matches the Rfam family "Bacterial small subunit ribosomal RNA", at positions 29 to 507 of the family's 1533-position model. The record is from RNAcentral.
AAUGAACGCUGGCGGCAUGCCUAAUACAUGCAAGUCGAACGAGAUCUUCGGAUCUAGUGGCGCACGGGUGCGUAACGCGUGGGAAUCUGCCCUUGGGUUCGGAAUAACUUCUGGAAACGGAAGCUAAUACCGGAUGAUGACGUAAGUCCAAAGAUUUAUCGCCCAAGGAUGAGCCCGCGUAGGAUUAGCUAGUUGGUGGGGUAAAGGCCCACCAAGGCGACGAUCCUUAGCUGGUCUGAGAGGAUGAUCAGCCACACUGGGACUGAGACACGGCCCAGACUCCUACGGGAGGCAGCAGUAGGGAAUAUUGGACAAUGGGGGAAACCCUGAUCCAGCAAUGCCGCGUGAGUGAUGAAGGCCUUAGGGUUGUAAAGCUCUUUUACCCGGGAUGAUAAUGACAGUACCGGGAGAAUAAGCUCCGGCUAACUCCGUG